This 1317-nucleotide ribosomal RNA is filed under the name Pontoporeia biturbinata. RNAcentral's name for it is "eukaryotic LSU rRNA". It matches the Rfam family "Eukaryotic large subunit ribosomal RNA", at positions 79 to 1410 of the family's 3401-position model. The record is from RNAcentral. Lineage: Eukaryota; Fungi; Ascomycota; Dothideomycetes; Pleosporales; Halotthiaceae.
CCCAGUAACUGCGAGUGAAGCGGCAACAGCUCAAAUUUGAAAUCUGGCCCUUUUAGGGUCCGAGUUGUAAUUUGUAGAGGAUGCUUCGGGGUGUGGCCGCCGUCUAAGUUCCUUGGAACAUGGCGUCGCAUAGGGUGAGAACCCCGCUAUGUGUCCGCCGGACCUCGCCCACGUAUAAGCCCUUCUACCAAUCAAGUUGUUUGGGAAUGCAUCUCUCAAUGGGAGGUAAAUUUCUUCCAAAGCUAAAUACUGGUCGGAGACCGAUCGCUCACAAAUAAAUUGAUCGAAAGAUGAAUAACACUUUGUAAAGAAAGUCAAAAAACCUGUGCAAUUGUUUAAAGGGAAGCGCUUGCUUGCAGACUCUCCCGCCGGUGCUCAGAUCGGGCUUCUGUCCGGUGGACUCUUCCCCGGGCGGACCAGCAUCCAUUCGGGCGGACCGACAAAGGCACAACUGGAGGUACCCGUCCAUCCUCGGGAGUUAUAUAGCGUGCUGCAUAGUACCUUCCUUGAUAGAGGUCAACUCAUCUGCUAGGAUGCUGGCGUAAUGGUGUCAUCCGCCCCGUCUUGAAACACGGACCAAGGAGUCUAACAACUCUUCUAGUGUUUGGGUGUCAAGACCGGGCGCGCAAUGAAAGUGAACGGAGGUGGGAUCCCUCCGCUGCACGAUCGACCGAUCCAGAAUUCCUCGGAUGGAUUUGAGUAAGAGCACAGCUGUUGGGACCCGAAAGAGUGUGAACUAUCCCUGAAUAGGGGGAAACCAGAAGAAAUUCUGGUGGAGGCUCGCAACGGUUUUUACGUGCAAAUCGAUCGUCAAAUUUGGGCAUAGGGGCGAAAGAGUAAUUGAACCAUUUGGUGGCUGGUUCCUCCCGAAGUUUCCCUCUCGGAUAACCGUGGCGCGCUUCAGUUUUAUGAGGUAAAGCGAAUGAUUAGAGGCAUCGGGGUUGAAACAACCUUCACCUAUUCUCAAACUUUGAAUAUGUAAGAAGUCCUUGUUGCUUAAUUGAACGUGGACAUUCGAAUGUAGCGUCACUAGUGGGCCAUUUUUGGUAAGCAGAACUGGCGAUGCGGGAUGAACCGAACGCGGGGUUAAGGUGCCGGAAUGCACGCUCAUCAGACACCACAAAAGGUGUUAGUUCAUCCAGACAGCAGGACAGUGGCCAUGGAAGUCGGAAUCCGCUAAGGAGUGUGUAACAACUCACCUGCCGAAUGAACUAGCCCUGAAAAUGGAUGGCGCUCAAGCGUGCUACCCAUACCCCGCCGCCCGGGCAGAAAUUACGCCCUGGCGAGUAGGCAGGCGUGGAGGCCCGUGACGAAGCC